CAAAUGGAAGCCUCUCGUGU
RNAcentral lists this non-coding RNA (20 nucleotides) under Rattus norvegicus (Norway rat). The record is from RNAcentral. Lineage: Eukaryota; Metazoa; Chordata; Mammalia; Rodentia; Muridae.